AUAAUAUAUUUGAGAGGCAUCUCUUGAGUAUCAAAGGUGAGCCAGUACAGGAUGGACCCGCGUCUGAUUAGCUAGUUGGUAAGGUAACGGCUUACCAAGGCGACGAUCAGUAGCCGACCUGAGAGGGGGAUCGGCCACAUUGGAACUGAGACACGGUCCAAACUCCUACGGGAGGCAGCAGUGGGGAAUAUUGCACAAUGGGCGAAAGCCUGAUGCAGCAACGCCGCGUGAGUGAUGAAGGCCUUCGGGUCGUAA
Molecule: ribosomal RNA, 255 nt
Filed under: Clostridioides difficile
Lineage: Bacteria; Bacillati; Bacillota; Clostridia; Peptostreptococcales; Peptostreptococcaceae
Description: partial 16S ribosomal RNA
Rfam family: Bacterial small subunit ribosomal RNA
Source: RNAcentral